AAAAAAAAUAAAAAGAAAUUCUAGAGGCCACUGGCUGGCCAACGAACUCACAAGUGUCAGUAGUGUUCUACAUAAGGGGCAAGUCUUUCCCUAACACCAUGAGAGUCUCUGGUCCAGUGAGUGGAGUUUGAUAGUAAUUCUUGCCACAUGU
Panthera pardus (leopard) is the source of this 151-nucleotide small nucleolar RNA. NCBI's taxonomy places the organism in Eukaryota, Metazoa, Chordata, Mammalia, Carnivora, Felidae. The record is from Ensembl.